Gymnothorax javanicus (giant moray) is the source of this 72-nucleotide non-coding RNA. NCBI's taxonomy places the organism in Eukaryota, Metazoa, Chordata, Actinopteri, Anguilliformes, Muraenidae. The record is from the annotation of a GenBank genome assembly.
GGCAAGGUGGCCUAGUGGAAUGAUUGUGGCCUAAUGAUCCACAAGUUGCUGGUUCAAGCCCUGCUGAGGAUG